GCCUUCUCAGUGUCGUGCCUAGAGAGUUUCCAGUCCUCUACCAGUCUCGGCUAUGGGAGGGAGAGUUAGGCAGAGGCCUGCCCAUCCCAUUCCUAGCUUGGGCAGUGGCUAGCGAGUGGAAGGAAAUCUGCUACAAGU
Tachyglossus aculeatus (Australian echidna) is the source of this 138-nucleotide small nucleolar RNA. The record is from RefSeq and is a predicted model, not a curated record. NCBI's taxonomy places the organism in Eukaryota, Metazoa, Chordata, Mammalia, Monotremata, Tachyglossidae.